RNAcentral lists this long non-coding RNA (246 nucleotides) under Panicum hallii. RNAcentral describes it as "long non-coding RNA (PHAL_LNC000088)". Lineage: Eukaryota; Viridiplantae; Streptophyta; Magnoliopsida; Poales; Poaceae. The record is from RNAcentral.
GCGCCGGGGAGUCGCCGUUUUACAUGGCGGCGGCGGGAGGUGGAUGGAGGAGCUAGACGGUCAGCUUUAAUAUCCAUUAGCGCGAAGUUACGGUAGGAUGGUCAACAAUUGUUUGUAGGGGAUUAAAUUUUACACCAAAUGGCAUCUACGGGAAAUGAGUUUUCUUGGUGGUUUGUAAGGGACUGGAAGUUUUGCUGAUGGCAUUGAAGGGAUUUUUCCUCCUUUUUUCCCUCACCGCCCCUCCCC